UACGUAGGGUGCAAGCGUUGUUCGGAAUCACUGGGCGUAAAGAGUUCGUAGGCGGCUCGACGCGUCGGGUGUGAAAUCCCGAGGCUCAACCUCGGGUCUGCAGUCGAUACGAGCAAACUAGAGUGUUGCAGGGGAGACUGGAAUUCCUGGUGUAGCGGUGAAAUGCGCAGAUAUCAGGAGGAACACCGGUGGCGAAGGCGGGUCUCUGGGCCACUACUGACGCUGAGAAGCGAAAGCAUGGGGAGCGAACAGG
Molecule: ribosomal RNA, 253 nt
Filed under: uncultured bacterium
Lineage: Bacteria
Description: partial 16S ribosomal RNA
Rfam family: Bacterial small subunit ribosomal RNA
Source: RNAcentral